RNAcentral lists this ribosomal RNA (491 nucleotides) under uncultured bacterium. Its description in RNAcentral is "partial 16S ribosomal RNA". It matches the Rfam family "Bacterial small subunit ribosomal RNA", at positions 29 to 506 of the family's 1533-position model. The record is from RNAcentral.
AGUGAACGCUGGCGGUAGGCCUAACACAUGCAAGUCGAACGGCAGCACAGUAAGAGCUUGCUCUUACGGGUGGCGAGUGGCGGACGGGUGAGGAAUACAUCGGAAUCUACUUUUUCGUGGGGGAUAACGUAGGGAAACUUACGCUAAUACCGCAUACGACCUACGGGUGAAAGCAGGGGAUCUUCGGACCUUGCGCGAUUGAAUGAGCCGAUGUCGGAUUAGCUAGUUGGCGGGGUAAAGGCCCACCAAGGCGACGAUCCGUAGCUGGUCUGAGAGGAUGAUCAGCCACACUGGAACUGAGACACGGUCCAGACUCCUACGGGAGGCAGCAGUGGGGAAUAUUGGACAAUGGGCGCAAGCCUGAUCCAGCCAUACCGCGUGGGCGAAGAAGGCCUGCGGGUUGUAAAGCCCUUUUGUUGGGAAAGAAAAGCAGCAGGUUAAUACCCCGCUGUUCUGACGGUACCCAAAGAAUAAGCACCGGCUAACUUCGU